AGAGUUUGAUCAUGGCUCAGAACGUACGCUGGCGGCACGCCUAACACAUGCAAGUCGAACGAAGUAGCAAUACUUAGUGGCAGACGGGUGAGUAACAUGUGGGUAUCUACCCUUUGGCCUGGAAUAACACGAGGAAACUUGUGCUAAUACCGGAUAAGUCUUUACGGAGAAAGCUUUAUGCACCAUUGGAUGAGCCCGCACUUGAUUAGUUUGUUGGUAGGGUAAUGGCCUACCAAGACUAUGAUCAAUAGCUGAUUUGAGAGGAUGAUCAGCCACAUUGGGACUGAGACACGGCCCAAACUCCUACGGGAGGCAGCAGUGGGGAAUCUUGCACAAUGGAGGAAACUCUGAUGCAGCGAUGCCGCGUGAGUGAAGAAGGCCUUUGGGUUGUAAAGCUCUUUCGUCGGGGAAGAAAAUGACUGUACCCGAAUAAGAAGGUCCGGCUAACUUCGUGCCAGCAGCCGCGGUAAUACGAAGGGACCUAGCGUAGUUCGGAAUUACUGGGCUUAAAGAGUUCGUAGGUGGUUGAAAAAGUUGGUGGUGAAAUCCCAGAGCUUAACUCUGGAACUGCCAUCAAAACUUUUCAGCUAGAGUAUGAUAGAGGAAAGCAGAAUUUCUAGUGUAGAGGUGAAAUUCGUAGAUAUUAGAAA
This 650-nucleotide ribosomal RNA is filed under the name uncultured bacterium. RNAcentral's name for it is "bacterial SSU rRNA". It matches the Rfam family "Bacterial small subunit ribosomal RNA", at positions 8 to 703 of the family's 1533-position model. The record is from RNAcentral.